AGUUUUAAGUGAAGAGUUUGAUCCUGGCUCAGAGUGAACGCUGGCGGUAGGCCUAACACAUGCAAGUCGAACGGCAGCACAGGAGAGCUUGCUCUCUGGGUGGCGAGUGGCGGACGGGUGAGGAAUACAUCGGAAUCUACUCUGUCGUGGGGGAUAACGUAGGGAAACUUACGCUAAUACCGCAUACGACCUACGGGUGAAAGUGGGGGACCGCAAGGCCUCACGCGAUUGAAUGAGCCGAUGUCGGAUUAGCUAGUUGGCGGGGUAAAGGCCCACCAAGGCGACGAUCCGUAGCUGGUCUGAGAGGAU
This 309-nucleotide ribosomal RNA is filed under the name Lysobacteraceae bacterium. RNAcentral describes it as "partial 16S ribosomal RNA". It matches the Rfam family "Bacterial small subunit ribosomal RNA", at positions 1 to 301 of the family's 1533-position model. Lineage: Bacteria; Pseudomonadati; Pseudomonadota; Gammaproteobacteria; Lysobacterales; Lysobacteraceae. The record is from RNAcentral.